This 1383-nucleotide ribosomal RNA is filed under the name metagenome. RNAcentral describes it as "bacterial LSU rRNA". It matches the Rfam family "Bacterial large subunit ribosomal RNA", at positions 1512 to 2910 of the family's 2925-position model. The record is from RNAcentral.
UAAAGGGUGUGGUUAUAUACAUGGGUUAACAGCUUGUGUAUGAUGAACCUGAUAGUACCGUGAGGCUUCGGCUGAGCGGAUAGUGUUCCUAAUCAGACUUCCAAGAAAAUCCUCUAAGCUUCAGACAUGUGGUGCCCGUACCACAAACCGACACAGGUAGUCGAGGAGAGAAUCCUAAGGUGCUCGAGUGAUCCGUGGCUAAGGAACUAGGCAAAUUGAACCUGUAACUUCGGGAUAAAGGUUCCCCUGUUUAUCAAUGGGGGCGCAGAGAAAUGGCCCUGGCGACUGUUUAACAAAAACACAAGGCUUUGCGAAAUUGAAAGAUGAAGUAUAAGGCCUGACACCUGCCCGGUGCCGGAAGGUUAAGAGGGGGAGUCAUUCUCAGCAAUGGGAAGAAGCUCUGAAUCGAAGCCCCGGUAAACGGCGGCCGUAACAAUAACGGUCCUAAGGUAGCGAAAUUCCUUGUCGGGUAAGUUCCGACCUGCACGAAUGGUGUAACGAUCUGGGCACUGUCUCAGCCACGAGCUCGGUGAAAUUGUAGUUCCGGUGAAGAUGCCGGAUACCCGCAACGGGACGGAAAGACCCCGUGAACCUUUACUAUAGCUUAACAUUGAUUUUGGGUAAGUGAUGUGUAGGAUAGGUCGGAGACUGUGAACCGGUUCCGCCAGGAAUCGGGGAGUCAACGUUGAAAUACGACCCUUCAUUUACCUGGAAUCUAAUCCGUCAACCGACGGAGACAUUGUUUGGUGGGUAGUUUGACUGGGGUGGUCGCCUCCAAAAAAGUAACGGAGGCUCCUCAAGGUGCCCUCAGCACGAUUGGUAACCGUGCGGAGAGUGUAAUGGCACAAGGGCGCUUGACUGUGAGACUGACAAGUCGAUCAGGUACGAAAGUAGAGCAUAGUGAUCCGGUGGUUCCGUAUGGAAGGGCCAUCGCUCAAAGGAUAAAAGGUACUCCGGGGAUAACAGGCUGAUCGCCGCCAAGAGCUCUUAUCGACGCGGCGGUUUGGCACCUCGAUGUCGGCUCGUCACAUCCUGGGGCUGAAGAAGGUCCCAAGGGUUCGGCUGUUCGCCGAUUAAAGUGGCACGCGAGCUGGGUUCAGAACGUCGUGAGACAGUUCGGUCCCUAUCUGUUGUGGGCGCUGGAGAUUUGAGAGAAACUGAUACUAGUACGAGAGGACCGUGUUGGACAGACCGCUAGUGUACCUGUUGUGGCGCCAGCUGCAUCGCAGGGUAGCUAUGUUUGGAACAGAUAAGCACUGAAAGCAUCUAAGUGCGAAGCUCGUCUCAAGAUGAGAUCUCCCUUAAGGGUCGUUGUAGACUACGACGUUGAUAGGCUGCAGGUGUAAAGGUGGCAACAUCAAAGCUGAGCAGUACUAAUUACUC